RNAcentral lists this ribosomal RNA (468 nucleotides) under uncultured bacterium. RNAcentral describes it as "partial 16S ribosomal RNA". It matches the Rfam family "Bacterial small subunit ribosomal RNA", at positions 28 to 507 of the family's 1533-position model. The record is from RNAcentral.
GACGAACGCUGGCGGCGUGCUUAACACAUGCAAGUCGAACGGAAAGGCCCUGCUUUUGUGGGGUGCUCGAGUGGCGAACGGGUGAGUAACACGUGAGUAACCUGCCCUUGACUUUGGGAUAACUUCAGGAAACUGGGGCUAAUACCGGAUAGGAGCUCCUGCUGCAUGGUGGGGGUUGGAAAGUUUCGGCGGUUGGGGAUGGACUCGCGGCUUAUCAGCUUGUUGGUGGGGUAGUGGCUUACCAAGGCUUUGACGGGUAGCCGGCCUGAGAGGGUGACCGGGCACAUUGGGACUGAGAUACGGCCCAGACUCCUACGGGAGGCAACAGUGGGGAAUAUUGCACAAUGGGCUGAAGCCUGAUGCAGCAACGCCGCGUGCGGGAUGACGGCCUUCGGGUUGUAAACCGCUUUCGCCUGUGACGAAGCGUGAGUGACGGUAAUGGGUAAAGAAGCACCGGCUAACUACGUG